AAUCAACGCUGGCGGCGUGCCUAACACAUGCAAGUCGAACGCGAAAGCCCGCAAGGGUAAGUAGAGUGGCGCACGGGUGAGUAACACGUGGACAACCUGCCUUUGAGUGGGGAAUAACCUUCCGAAAGGAGGGCUAAUACCGCAUAACACCUCGGGACACAAGUUCUGUGGUUGAAAAGAGCAAUUUGCUCGAAGAGGGGUCCGCGCCUGAUUAGCUAGUUGGUGAGGUAACGGCUCACCAAGGCUUCGAUCAGUAGCCGUCCUGAGAGGGAGCACGGCCACACUGGAACUGAGACACGGUCCAGACUCCUACGGGAGGCAGCAGUGGGGAAUUUUUGGCAAUGGGCGAAAGCCUGACCAAGCAACGCCGCGUGGGUGAUGAAGUAUCUUGGUACGUAAAACCCUUUCGGCAGGGACGAACCUAAUGACGGUACCUGCGGAAGAAGCCCCGGCUAACUCCGUGCCAGCAGCCGC
RNAcentral lists this ribosomal RNA (474 nucleotides) under uncultured bacterium. RNAcentral describes it as "bacterial SSU rRNA". It matches the Rfam family "Bacterial small subunit ribosomal RNA", at positions 32 to 518 of the family's 1533-position model. The record is from RNAcentral.